This 468-nucleotide ribosomal RNA is filed under the name uncultured bacterium. RNAcentral describes it as "partial 16S ribosomal RNA". It matches the Rfam family "Bacterial small subunit ribosomal RNA", at positions 28 to 507 of the family's 1533-position model. The record is from RNAcentral.
GACGAACGCUGGCGGCGUGCUUAACACAUGCAAGUCGAACGGAAAGGCCCUGCUUUUGUGUGGUUCUCGAGUGGCGAACGCGUGAGUAACACGUGAGUAUCCUGCCCUUGACUUUGGGGUAACUUCAGGAGACUGGGGCUAUUACCGGAUAGAAGCUCCUGCUGCAUGGUGGGGGUUGGAAAGUUUCGGCGGUUGGGGAUGGACUCGCGGGUUAUCCGCUUGUUGGUGGGGUAGGUGCUUACCAAGGCUUUGAAGGGUAGCCGGCCUGGGAGGGUGACCGGCGACAUGAGGACUGAGGGACGGCGCAGACGCCUACGGGAGGCAGCAGUGGGGAGUAUUGCACAAUGGGCGGAAGCGUGAUGCAGCAACGCCGCGUGCGGGAUGACGGCCUUCGGGUUGUAAACCGCUGUCGCCGGUGACGAAGCGUGAGUGACGGUAAUGGGUAAGGAAGCACCGGCUAACUACGUG